AGAACGAACGCUGGCGGCAGGCUUAACACAUGCAAGUCGAACGCGUGUAGCAAUACACGAGUGGCGCACGGGUGAGUAACACGUGGAUUAUCUGCCUUUUGGUUCGGAAUAACCCCGGGAAACUGGGGCUAAUACCGGAUGGUUCCUUCGGGAUAAAGAUUUAUCGCCAAAAGAUGAGUCCGCGUCCGAUUAGCUAGUUGGUGGGGUAACGGCCCACCAAGGCGACGAUCGGUAGCUGGUCUGAGAGGACGAUCAGCCACACUGGGACUGAGACACGGCCCAGACUCCUACGGGAGGCAGCAGUGGGGAAUAUUGGACAAUGGGGGCAACCCUGAUCCAGCCAUGCCGCGUGAGUGAUGAAGGCCUUCGGGUUGUAAAGCUCUUUUGGCGGGACGAUGAUGACGGUACCGCAGAAUAGCCCCGGCUAACUUCGUGCCAGCAGCCGC
This 446-nucleotide ribosomal RNA is filed under the name uncultured bacterium. Its description in RNAcentral is "SSU rRNA". It matches the Rfam family "Bacterial small subunit ribosomal RNA", at positions 26 to 518 of the family's 1533-position model. The record is from RNAcentral.